Molecule: ribosomal RNA, 339 nt
Filed under: uncultured bacterium
Lineage: Bacteria
Description: bacterial SSU rRNA
Rfam family: Bacterial small subunit ribosomal RNA
Source: RNAcentral
AUUGAACGCUGGCGGCAUGCCUUACACAUGCAAGUCGAACGGCAGCGGACCUUCGGGUGCCGGCGAGUGGCGAACGGGUGAGUAAUAUAUCGGAACGUACCUUUCAGUGGGGGAGUAACGUAGCGAAAGUUAACGCUAAUACCGCAUAUUCUGUGAGCAGGAAAGACAGGGGAGUCGCAAGACCUUGCGCUGAUUGAGCGGCCGAUAUCAGAUUAGCUAGUUGGUGAGGUAAAGGCUCACCAAGGCGACGAUCUGUAGCGGGUCUGAGAGGAUGAUCCACCACACUGGAACUGAGACACGGUCCAGACUCCUACGGGAGGCAGCAGUGGGGGAAGUUUU